This is a long non-coding RNA of Oreochromis aureus, 675 nucleotides long. Lineage: Eukaryota; Metazoa; Chordata; Actinopteri; Cichliformes; Cichlidae. The record is from Ensembl.
GCUUGUUGAGGACGCUCGGCCGAGAGUGGUUUAUUCGCUUACAGGCAUGAAAACAGUGAUCACGUCGGUGACGUGUAACAGUCGAAGCCUGAUCUCAAGUAAAGAGCACAGCUCUACCCAAAGCAUGACAUGGCUUAAGAACUCGUUACAAGGUCAUCCCUGCAAGUGGUGUGAAAGCACUUCUCUGCACCAGCCAAGAAAUGAUUAACACUGUUAGCUGCCUGUAGUCAAACGGGGGGAAAGCCACAGUGAGUGUGUUCGGGCCUGCUGCCUCUCUGGAGGAUCCUGGAGGGUUUUAGCUGCAGAGCUUUGGGGGCGAGCGAGAGGAGGAGGGGAAGCUGAUCUGUUCAGGGGGGCUGCAGAGACCACAAAAGGACCAAGUAUGGAGGCAUAUCAGGCUUAGGAAAGAACGAGUGACCAAAAAAUAAAAUAAAAUACUUAAGCAUUAAUAAGACAACCAUGACUUUUCUUUUUUAAAUAAAUAAAUAAGAAUCAGCAACAAUAAAUAGCAAAAGCAUAUAGUUAGACUUGCAGAGUCCUGUAACGCUGGGUGUUAAGUAGCAGGUCACUGUGUUCCUUUGACCGCUUACAACGCCUCUUCCAUUUGGCUGACCACAUCCUCUUCGUGCCACAUCCUGUUUAUUUCAAAUCUUCUAAGAUAGAGAAAUAAUGUGC